UAUUAUUAUAAAUGUAAAUUUUUUUUCCUAAGUAGUAUUAGUUAUGAUCUUGAAAUUUAAAAAUUUUGGCGGUAUUUUAGUCUAUUCAGAGGAACCUGUUCUAUAAUUGAUAGUCCACGAAUAAUUAUACUUUUUUUAUUAAUUUAUAUAUCGUCGUUAUUAAAUAUUUUAUAAGAAUUAUAAUAUUUAAGAUUUUUUAUUAAAAAAUAUAUCAGAUCAAGGUGUAGUUUAUAAAAAAGAAGAAAUGGGUUACAAUAAAUUUAUUUUUAAAUUUAUAUAUAAAAAUAUAUAAUGAAAAUGGAUUUGAAAGUAAUAAAUUAAAAAUUUAAUUUAUGAUUUUAGCUCUAAAAUGUGU
This 355-nucleotide ribosomal RNA is filed under the name Hydroporus figuratus. Its description in RNAcentral is "Suphrodytes figuratus partial 12S ribosomal RNA". The record is from RNAcentral. Lineage: Eukaryota; Metazoa; Arthropoda; Insecta; Coleoptera; Dytiscidae.